UUACUGUUUAACUUUGUACAAGUGACACAAGCCUUUUGUACAACUAUUUGAAGCAUUGUUUGGACGUUCUUCUCCCUAAAACAAAAGCAGAGAAAUAUUCUAAUAGAGUGAGAGAGACGACGGGGAAAGGGAAACCGACCAUGGAAUCCGGCCGGCCACCCUAAUCCGACAAUAGAAACGUCAGGGAUGGUGGUGUGCGAACGAGGAGAUGGUGAAAGGUUGAGGGAGACUCACGACCACAAACGAGUUAUGGGUCCAACAACCCAAAUCAGUGGCGGCUAGGGUGCCGCUGACGAGUGACAGCGGGAUGUAGGGUUUCGAGACCAGAUCGACACAAGAACCAGUUAGGGUUUUCAAGGUGGUCAGCACUAACGGUGGUCUCACUACAAUGGUGGCUGUUAACUACGAUCACAGGGAUUUAGGUCCAAUUUUCAGCAGCUAGGAGGUUAUCCUGACAACCACAGACGAUAUAAGGGAGGUUGUGGUGAUCGAAUAUGGUUUCAAUCAAACAAUGGGUGGCAACAAAUGUUUGCUGUGGUGACCACCGGCGGUAGAGAUGGCCUCCAGAACAGUGUUGCAAUUCAUGGAUUGUGGCAACAAGAGUAUUGGGAAGGUGUAUCUUGGUAAUUCUGUGACAAAAUGUGUAUGGAAAGGUGCAUUCAUGUGGCAACAAAGUAUUCAGAAAAAAGAAAAGCAAAUGGUGGAUUGAUGAUGAUUUUCGAAACAUUGGUAGUGAUUGGAAGUUGUUGGAGCUAAACAAGGGAUUGAUUGGACACGAGUAAAGUGAUGGCCAACUGGUCAACUUAAUCAACCAAGUCAGCUCAGUCAACCGGGACAAGGCUGGCCAACUGUGAUCGACUCAGUCAACAGAGGUUCGGAAAUGAUCAGCUUGCAACUGAACUCAGUCACGUACUCACGUGUGGUACCUAUGAUUUAAUGGCUCCGUCGCAACGCACGGGUCAUAAAUUCUAGUUACUUAAGUAAACAAAAGUUUAGUAUUGCUAAGUUGGUUUAAACAUCACGGAUGGUUGAAGUGGUGUGGGUUCAGUAAUACUCUUACAUAUUAAUCCGUGGAUAUUGUUGAUCAUUGAUAAUGAAUUACAAUCUUUAAGAGUCGUCUUCCCCGAAAAUAAAUCAGAAUCUUUGCAACGAUCAAAUGUCGCCUGACAAAAAAAACAUAAUGGCCCAUCCGACAACUGGGAUUCAUUCUUCACAGCCGGAAACUCCAUUCACGACAACCAAAUCUCAAUCAGAUUUAAAGAAGGUGAUAUCUAAACUUGAAUUUGAGCAAUUGUUGGAAUUCAUUAAAGAUCAGAUA
This is a long non-coding RNA of Helianthus annuus (common sunflower), 1318 nucleotides long. RefSeq lists it as uncharacterized. The transcript has 3 exons. Lineage: Eukaryota; Viridiplantae; Streptophyta; Magnoliopsida; Asterales; Asteraceae. The record is from RefSeq and is a predicted model, not a curated record.